GCCCCUGUGGCGGAAUCGGUAGACGCGGCGGAUUCAAAAUCCGUUUCCUUUGGAGUGCCCGUUCGAGUCGGGCCAGGGGCACCA
Molecule: transfer RNA, 84 nt
Filed under: Ponticaulis sp.
Lineage: Bacteria; Pseudomonadati; Pseudomonadota; Alphaproteobacteria; Hyphomonadales; Hyphomonadaceae
Description: tRNA-Leu
Rfam family: tRNA
About the family: Transfer RNA (tRNA) molecules are approximately 80 nucleotides in length. Their secondary structure includes four short double-helical elements and three loops (D, anti-codon, and T loops).
Source: RNAcentral